This is a small nuclear RNA of Hippocampus zosterae (dwarf seahorse), 160 nucleotides long. RefSeq annotates it as U1 spliceosomal RNA. NCBI's taxonomy places the organism in Eukaryota, Metazoa, Chordata, Actinopteri, Syngnathiformes, Syngnathidae. The transcript has a single exon. The record is from RefSeq and is a predicted model, not a curated record.
AUACUUACCUGGCAGGGGUGAUGCCAUGAUCAAGAAGGUGGCUCACCCAGCGUGAGGAUCAGCCAUUGCACUCCGGCUGUGCUGACCCCUGCGAAUUCCCCAAAUGUGGGAAUCUUGACUGCAUAAUUUCUGGUAGUGAGACCGCGUUCGCGCUCUCCCC